CUGGAGGACUAAGAAGGCUGAGUCU
Molecule: non-coding RNA, 25 nt
Filed under: Sus scrofa (pig)
Lineage: Eukaryota; Metazoa; Chordata; Mammalia; Artiodactyla; Suidae
Also listed under: 1 other name
Source: RNAcentral